UACAGAGGGUGCGAGCGUUGUCCGGAAUCACUGGGCGUAAAGGGCGCGUAGGUGGCCCGACAAGUCCGUGGUGAAAGCUCGACGCUCAACGUCGAGUCGGCCAUGGAUACUGUUGGGCUGGAGCACUGUAGAGGCUCAUGGAAUUCCGGGUGUAGCGGUGGAAUGCGUAGAGAUCCGGAAGAACACCGGUGGCGAAGGCGGUGAGCUGGGCAGUUGCUGACACUGAGGCGCGACAGCGUGGGGAGCAAACAGG
Molecule: ribosomal RNA, 253 nt
Filed under: uncultured bacterium
Lineage: Bacteria
Description: partial 16S ribosomal RNA
Rfam family: Bacterial small subunit ribosomal RNA
Source: RNAcentral